CGGAGGGUGCAAGCGUUAUCCGGAUUUACUGGGUUUAAAGGGUGCGUAGGCUGUCAGAUAAGUCAGUGGUGAAAGGCUGUGGCUUAACCAUGGGAAUGCCAUUGAUACUGUCUGACUUGAAUGAAGAAGAGGAUAGCGGAAUGUGACAUGUAGCGGUGAAAUGCUUAGAUAUGUCAUAGAACACCAAUUGCGAAGGCAGCUAUCUGGACUUGUAUUGACGCUGAGGCACGAAAGCGUGGGGAGCGAACAGGAUUAGAUACCCUGGUAGUCCACGCCCUAAACGAUGCUUACUCGUUGUCUGGAAGAAAUUUUGGGCGACUAAGCGAAAGCGAUAAGUAAGCCACCUGGGGAGUACGACCGCAAGGUUG
Molecule: ribosomal RNA, 368 nt
Filed under: uncultured bacterium
Lineage: Bacteria
Description: bacterial SSU rRNA
Rfam family: Bacterial small subunit ribosomal RNA
Source: RNAcentral